GCGGGUAGCUCAGUUGGCUGAGCAGUGGGAUGGUACCCCACGAUCUCGGGUUCAAUUCCCGGCCGACGCU
Non-coding RNA from Phthorimaea operculella (potato tuberworm), 70 nucleotides. Lineage: Eukaryota; Metazoa; Arthropoda; Insecta; Lepidoptera; Gelechiidae. The record is from the annotation of a GenBank genome assembly.